UGACACUUUUAAAUAAUAUUUAUUUCAACCGAGCCAAGUCUUUUCAUUCCUCUCCACUGUAGUCUCUUAUUCAAAUACCGACCAUACGGCGAGACAAAAAAUUCCUGGUUGUGACGUCACGGGGUUCACGAUGCUUAUAAGCAGCCAAGAGUGGAUGGGCGACCUCAGUAAGCAUCUCCGAGUGAGGUCACUCAAGAAGAAGGCAGGUUUCCCUCCCCAACGGUUACUUCAACGAUGAAGCUUCUUCAUCAACUCUUCAAGUUGUUGAUCUGCUUGACGCUGAUUGGCGGCACCAGUUUCGUGAGAGCUGCCGACCCUACCAUCAUAGGAGGACGCAACGCUUAUAGACCGAGUACAGGAAUCUUAUUCUCAGACGACGAUAGUUACUACAGCCCUCCGAUCGUCUUCGGGCCUAGACGUCCCCAGUGGCGGCCUCAGUAUCAGAAUCCCUACGGAGGUGGUUGCCAGCAUUUCUGGUGUUUAUUCUUCCAGUGACGUCGACUUGUGCACCUCACGGUUUAGCAGUAUGAGGUAAACUGUGUCAAUUACAAAUACACUCACACUUGAAAGGUGUAUGUA
Molecule: long non-coding RNA, 579 nt
Organism: Macrobrachium nipponense
Lineage: Eukaryota; Metazoa; Arthropoda; Malacostraca; Decapoda; Palaemonidae
Exons: 2
Source: RefSeq, a predicted model, not a curated record